GAUGAACGCUGGCGGCGUGCCUAAUACAUGCAAGUCGAGCGAACAGACGAGGAGCUUGCUCCUCUGACGUUAGCGGCGGACGGGUGAGUAACACGUGUAUAACCUACCUAUAAGACUGGGAUCACUUCGGGAAACCGGAUCUAAUACCGGAUAAUAUAUUGAACCGCAUGGUUCAAUAGUGAAAGACGGUUUUGCUGUCACUUAUCGCUGGAUCCCGGCCGCAUUAGCUAGUUGGUAAGGUAACGGCUUACCAAGGCAACGAUGCGUAGCCGACCUGAGAGGGUGAUCGGCCACACUGGAACUGAGACACGGUCAAGACGACUAAGGGAGGCAGCAGUAGGGAAUCUUCCGCAAUGGGCGAAAGCCUGACGGAGCAACGCCGCGUGAGUGAUGAAGGUCUUCGGAUCGGAAAAAUCGGUUAUUAGGGAAGAACAAAUGUGUAAGUAACUAUGCACGUAUUGACGGUACCGAAUCAGAAAGCCACGGCUAACUACGUG
RNAcentral lists this ribosomal RNA (497 nucleotides) under uncultured bacterium. RNAcentral's name for it is "partial 16S ribosomal RNA". It matches the Rfam family "Bacterial small subunit ribosomal RNA", at positions 28 to 507 of the family's 1533-position model. The record is from RNAcentral.